RNAcentral lists this long non-coding RNA (339 nucleotides) under Mus caroli (Ryukyu mouse). RNAcentral's name for it is "lncRNA (MGP_CAROLIEiJ_G0003987.1)". The record is from RNAcentral. Lineage: Eukaryota; Metazoa; Chordata; Mammalia; Rodentia; Muridae.
GCUACGCUGGAACUCAUGGCAACCCUCCUCCCUCAUCCUCCCCCGUACUCCGGUGGCCCGUGUGAGGCACCACGCCCUAUUUUUCUGGAAUCUCUGCUCCAGAAUCCAGACCUCGGACUUUGGGCCGGGAAGAAGGGAUCUGGUGGCCUGGGAGGGCCUCUCGAGAUGGAAGCCAGACAUGGUGGCACAUGCCUUUAAUCCCAGCACUUGGGAGGCAGAGUCCAGAGGAUCUCUGAGCUCAAGGCCAGCCUGGUCUACAGAGUGAGUUCCUGUGACAAGGAAAGAAACUGUGGUGUCCUGAGUCCUGACUGUCAUCUUUGAAGGCAGAAGGUAGAUGAU